GAUGAACGCUGGCGGCGUGCCUAAUACAUGCAAGUCGAGCGAACAGACGAGGAGCUUGCUCCUCUGACGUUAGCGGCGGACGGGUGAGUAACACGUGGAUAACCUACCUAUAAGACUGGGAUAACUUCGGGAAACCGGAGCUAAUACCGGAUAAUAUAUUGAACCGCAUGGUUCAAUAGUGAAAGACGGUUUUGCUGUCACUUAUAGAUGGAUCCGCGCCGCAUUAGCUAGUUGGUAAGGUAACGGCUUACCAAGGCAACGAUGCGUAGCCGACCUGAGAGGGUGAGCGGCCACACUGGAACUGAGACACGCUCCAGACUCCUACGGGAGGCAGCAGUAGGGAAUCUUCCGCAAUGGGCGAAAGCCUGACGGAGCAACGCCGCGUGAGUGAUGAAGGUCUUCGGAUCGUAAAACUCUGUUAUUAGGGAAGAACAAAUGUGUAAGUAACUAUGCACGUCUUGACGGUACCUAAUCAGAAAGCCACGGCUAACUACGUG
RNAcentral lists this ribosomal RNA (497 nucleotides) under uncultured bacterium. RNAcentral describes it as "partial 16S ribosomal RNA". It matches the Rfam family "Bacterial small subunit ribosomal RNA", at positions 28 to 507 of the family's 1533-position model. The record is from RNAcentral.